UACGUAGGGCGCGAGCGUUGUCCGGAAUUAUUGGGCGUAAAGAGCUCGUAGGCGGCCUGUUGCGUCCGCUGUGAAAACUCGAGGCUCAACCUCGAGAUGUCGGUGGAAACCGUCUGGCUAGAGUCCGGAAGAGGAGAGUGGAAUUCCCGGUGUAGCGGUGAAAUGCGCAGAUAUCGGGAAGAACACCCGUGGCGAAGGCGGCUCUCUGGGACGGUACUGACGCUGAGACGCGAAAGCGUGGGGAGCGAACAGG
Molecule: ribosomal RNA, 253 nt
Filed under: uncultured bacterium
Lineage: Bacteria
Description: partial 16S ribosomal RNA
Rfam family: Bacterial small subunit ribosomal RNA
Source: RNAcentral